Molecule: ribosomal RNA, 468 nt
Filed under: uncultured bacterium
Lineage: Bacteria
Description: partial 16S ribosomal RNA
Rfam family: Bacterial small subunit ribosomal RNA
Source: RNAcentral
GACGAACGCUGGCGGCGUGCUUAACACAUGCAAGUCGAACGGAAAGGCCCUGCUUUUGUGGGGUGCUCGAGUGGCGAACGGGUGAGUAACACGUGAGUAACCUGCCCUUGACUUUGGGAUAACUUCAGGAAACUGGGGCUAAUACCGGAUAGGAGCUCCUGCUGCAUGGUGGGGGUUGGAAAGUUUCGGCGGUUGGGGAUGGACUCGCGGCUUAUCAGCUUGUUGGUGGGGUAGUGGCUUACCAAGGCUUUGACGGGUAGCCGGCCUGUGAGGGUGACCGGCCACAUUGGGACUGAGAUACGGCCUAGACUCCUACGGGGGGCAGCAGUGGGGAAUAUUGCACAAUGGGCGGAAGCCUGAUGCAGCAGCGCCGCGUGCGGGAUGACGGCCUUCGUGUUGUAAACCUCUUUCGCCUGUGACGAAGCGUGAGUGACGGUAAUGGGUAAAGAAGCUCCGGCUAACUACGUG